CUUUCCUACUGUGCCACCGGAGGGCCUGCAGGAAGUGGAUUCAGCAGAGUGAGUGGAUGUGUCCUUGGGGCCAGGGGGAGGGCCGGGUCUCUGCACUGUCCUCGGAGGCUCUCCGGCCAACUCCACUGCCGUUUCAGAGCUCCACCUGUGCUACCCCGUCCAGACCUUCCGGCCCAAGCUGGAGCCUGUGGACUCCAGGCCCAGGAGGAACCCAACACAGCUGAAGAGCA
Molecule: long non-coding RNA, 230 nt
Filed under: Ursus thibetanus thibetanus
Lineage: Eukaryota; Metazoa; Chordata; Mammalia; Carnivora; Ursidae
Description: lncRNA (ENSUTTG00000014040.1)
Source: RNAcentral